CGGGGGAGCACCACAACAGGUGGAGCCUGCGGUUUAAUCGGACUCAACGCCGGGAAACUCACCAGAUAGACAGCUGAAUGAUAGUCGGGCUGAAGACUCUACUUGACUAGCUGAGAGGAGGUGCAUGGCCGUCGUCAGUUCGUACUGUGAAGCAUCCUGUUAAGUCAGGCAACGAGCGAGACCCACGCCAACAGUUGCCAGCUCGUCCUCCGGGAUGGUGGGGACACUGUUGGGACCGCCUCUGCUAAAGAGGAGGAAGGAAUGGGCAACGGUAGGUCAGCAUGCCCCGAAUUAUCUGGGCUACACGCGGGCUACAAUGGGUGGGACAAUGGGUAUCGACACCGAAAGGUGAAGGCAAUCUCCUAAACCCAUCCGUAGUUCGGAUUGUGGGCUGCAACUCGCCCACAUGAAGCUGGAAUCUGUAGUAAUCGUGUCUCAAAAUGGCACGGUGAAUAUGUCCCUGCUCCUU
RNAcentral lists this ribosomal RNA (469 nucleotides) under uncultured Methanomicrobiales archaeon. Its description in RNAcentral is "bacterial SSU rRNA". It matches the Rfam family "Archaeal small subunit ribosomal RNA", at positions 869 to 1338 of the family's 1478-position model. Lineage: Archaea; Methanobacteriati; Methanobacteriota; Methanomicrobia; Methanomicrobiales. The record is from RNAcentral.